GACGAACGCUGGCGGCAUGCCUUACACAUGCAAGUCGAACGGUAACAGGUCUUCGGAUGCUGACGAGUGGCGAACGGGUGAGUAAUACAUCGGAACGUGCCCGAUCGUGGGGGAUAACGCAGCGAAAGCUGUGCUAAUACCGCAUACGAUCUACGGAUGAAAGCGGGGGAUCGCAAGACCUCGCGCGGACGGAGCGGCCGAUGGCAGAUUAGGUAGUUGGUGGGAUAAAAGCUUACCAAGCCGACGAUCUGUAGCUGGUCUGAGAGGACGACCAGCCACACUGGGACUGAGACACGGCCCAGACUCCUACGGGAGGCAGCAGUGGGGAAUUUUGGACAAUGGGGGAAACCCUGAUCCAGCCAUGCCGCGUGCAGGAUGAAGGCCUCGGUUGUAAC
This 395-nucleotide ribosomal RNA is filed under the name uncultured bacterium. RNAcentral's name for it is "bacterial SSU rRNA". It matches the Rfam family "Bacterial small subunit ribosomal RNA", at positions 28 to 429 of the family's 1533-position model. The record is from RNAcentral.